AAGAUUACACAAAGGGGAUUUGUAUUAAUAAAUUUAUAUUUGAACAAAAAAAACUGCUGCUCAACCAUGGAGGUUGGCGGAACUGGCGAUGCAUCAUUCUCGACAAGUGUGAUUUCGGCUGGUAAGCGAUGCGAGAUUUGCCUAUGACAUAUUACAAACCCGUAGUCGUUGACUUAUUGUGGGCUUAGUGGACAGCCCAAAACUUUGAUCCCAUGGUGGUUCCUGUACAAAAGCCCCAUAAAUUAAUUGAACUUCU
Molecule: long non-coding RNA, 256 nt
Filed under: Jatropha curcas
Lineage: Eukaryota; Viridiplantae; Streptophyta; Magnoliopsida; Malpighiales; Euphorbiaceae
Description: long non-coding RNA (JCUR_LNC000597)
Source: RNAcentral